Molecule: ribosomal RNA, 443 nt
Filed under: uncultured bacterium
Lineage: Bacteria
Description: partial 16S ribosomal RNA
Rfam family: Bacterial small subunit ribosomal RNA
Source: RNAcentral
CCUACGGGAGGCAGCAGUGGGGAAUAUUGGGCAAUGGAGGCAACUCUGACCCAGCAACGCCGCGUGUAUGAUGAAGGUCUUCGGAUUGUAAAGUUCUGUGAUGGGGGAUGAACACAAUGACGGUACUCCAAUCGCAAGCCACGGCUAACUACGUGCCAGCAGCCGCGGUAAUUCGUAGGUGGCAAGCGUUAUCCGGAAUGACUGGGCGUAAAGGUCGCGUAGGUGGGUUAGUAAGUCGUCGGUGUAAUUCCAGGGCUGAACCUGGGGACUACCGCCGAAACUAGUAGACUAGAGGGGAGGAGGGGGAAGUAGAAGUCCAAGGGUAGCGGUGGAAUGCGUAGAUAUUAGGAGGAACAUCAGGGGCGAAGGCGACCUACUGGACAAUGACUGACACUGAGGCACGAAAGCGUGGGGAGCAAACAGGAUUAGAUACCCCUGUAGUC